This is a long non-coding RNA of Oncorhynchus gorbuscha (pink salmon), 2850 nucleotides long. RefSeq lists it as uncharacterized. The transcript is spliced from 3 exons. The record is from RefSeq and is a predicted model, not a curated record. NCBI's taxonomy places the organism in Eukaryota, Metazoa, Chordata, Actinopteri, Salmoniformes, Salmonidae.
UUGUGCAUAUGGAACAUUUCUGGGAUCUUUUAUUUCAGCUCAUGAAACAUGGAACCAACAGUUUACAUGUUGCGUUUAUAUUUUUGCUCAGUGUAUAUAAUGUUCUUCCCAUACAUAGUACUGGGCUGAAGUUACCUGUCAGGACCACAGUGUUGGGAUUAGUGGACUGCAGAAGGUCUACAAGGACAGUCACCCCUCUGGCAGACAGAGUCACCUGGUCUGUGUCUGUGAUCACUUUGGCCAGCACAACUAUCUGGAGACCAGUUACCACAAAACGAAAAGUUAGCGAUAAAAGGAAUUACCUAACACUAAUUCCGUGUCAAGUCGGAAAACACAUACAAAUCAGCAGCUGUUAAUGACUCAUUGAUAUUACUGUGGCCCUCAGGUGAUUUUUUUAAUGAUCUACCUGAAAAGCAGCUUUGGCCCUCUCCAUCUCAUUCCUGGAGUUCAAGAAGGGCUCGUACAUGGCUAUGGGAAUGCCACCAUUCUGCAGGAUGGCUGCCUGCUGGGUGGUGUUGUUGUAGGCAAACAGAGACAGGGCAUAACCAGCCUCCAGGCAGAUGUCCUGCUGGGAAAAGGAAAACAUGACAAAUUGCCAUGGGGAAUGCACUUUACGGAGUGUCAACACCCCUUACUGCUUGAGCAGUCCUUGACCAUUAGGUGCCAGUAGUUCAUUGCACAUUGCGAUAACAGUAUUGUAUCUUGGAUGCUUUUCUUUCUAAUCUCUAUUAGACCCAUAUCUUGUUCCACCUCAUCUGGUUAGUGACUGUGCUGACAGCUGACAUACCGAAAGGUUCUGGGCUAAAGUUAUGAAGUAGCCCACAAACAGCCUUUCAAAUGGUUUACCUGAUCUGGCACUCGCAGCAACUCUAGAACUGUUUCGUAGGUAAACUCCUCUUUUUCCCAGAAGGUUGUUUGUAGGUCCUGGUUUCCCAGAAGCACACAGGCCAGCGUUUGAGCCACUUGGACCUGAGGGGGAAUCAACAUGUCACCCAAGCCUCAAUUUCUUUCAAUGGAAAUUCUAGUAUUGGACGCCCUUGUUUGUGGGACUUUUGUGGCACUACCAAGGACAUUUAAGGGGAGAGAGUGAACGCUUUUCUUGUGUGUGUGAUCGAUUUCCAAUGUAUUUACCUUGACCUGCAGUGAUUCUUGGUGCUUCACAAGUUCUAACAGAGUUGGAAUGGCUUGCUCCUCAGCUAUGACCCUCUGGCUGUUUGGGUUAUUGGUGUGUGCCCCUCCUAAAAUUAGAUGUACGAAACAUGCAUGCACUAGAAGUUAUGGUAUAUUAUUAGCUUGUAUACCAUGACUUGUUUCCAAGUCAAGUCUGAAAGCCAUGUUACUACUGUCGCACUGUUAAAACUUCAAUGGUCAAAAUCGUCAAGUAGUAUCAUGACAAAGGUUUACUCAAAAUCGCCCAUUGAUACCAAUGCUUGGUUAAUGCAAACCUUUGAUUACCUUAAUCUUAUCUUGAGAAACACAGUACAUGCAACAGUGAGAAUGUACAAACCAAUACACAGGAUGCCCAGGGAUCGUAUAACGCUGAGGAGGGUACUCUCUGUGGUCCGGGACCCCCGUAGUAGACGAACCAGCGGGGGCACCCCAUUUUCUUUACACAGCCCGUCCUGGUGGCUCCGACUGUCCCUGCUCAGUGCUAUAACUGCCUGGCAGCCUGAAAGACAAUACUAUUUGUUUACACUUUACCAAGCUGAAUUGUAUGUAAACCUCGACUUGAAUUCUUUCAUAAAAGGUCCCUCUCUGGCCUGACCAGAUCUGAAACCUCCACACCACAUUUGACAAUUGGUGGCAGUGCUGGGAUGUGAGUGAUGCCUUUAUGGAGUAUCGGCCAGCAGUGGUGUCCAUCAGUGUAAAGAUGACAGGACGAAGGCAUAAGUUAUGCAUAGUGUAAAGUUAGUCACUAGGCCUAUAAGCUGACAUUAGCGGUCAUGACUGUUAGUGCCAUUACUAUGAUGGCGUUAUGUAGACUUUGUGACAGACGGUUCAGGUAAUGUGUUACCUAGAAUUCAAUCUGUACAUUCACUUUUUAAACCAUUGGUCGGGGUGUUACUGUGGUCAGGCGCAGGCCUACCAUUUCCACAUCAUUAACCUCAGUUCGUCUCCCUUUUAAGAGAACGACAGGCAUUUUUUGGGUGAAAAAGAAGGCUGGAAUGAAAGAACCAUCUGUCGUCUUGUCUGGACAGAAACUAUUUCGGAAGCUGCUGUACAGAUGUUCUGUAGACAUGUUUGACAGACCGAGGACCUGAGGGAAGAGUAGAGGCUCUUAAAAACUACCCGGGAACACGUGUUCAAGGAAUGACAGAGGUGUUGGGAUUCCCAAUGGAGGGAUAGACAGACAGGCAUUCCUGACUGCAUGCCUUCCUGUGCUCUGGCUGCGGGUGAUGAGUCUAGCAGAGGAAAGCCGUCUGGGGGCAGGAGGCGGCUGGUCUUGCGGUGACAGAGGCAGCGUACCCACGAGGAUCUUCCAGACAGGCAGGUCCGGCAGGCCCAGCGAGAUGAGGUGCCUGAGGACUUUGGGGUGGAAGUAGAGGGCGGCCAGCUGCACGACGUCGUUGCCCUUGCUGUCCCUCCUCCUCCAGUUGGCUCCCGCGGACAGCAUGUAGUCCAGGGCCUCCACGGAGCCAGAUGUGGCCGUCAGGAGCAACGGGCAGCUGCGGUACCUGAGGAGACAAAAAAACAACACCGUCAACCUGUGUGCACGUAGAAGCAGAUGCAUCCGUAACGCCUCCAGUGCAUUUUGUGGCGUCUGUUACUUGUAUGUCAGUGGAGGCUGCCGAGGGGAGGACCGCUCAUAAUAAUGGCCGGAACGGAGUCAAUGGAAUGGUAUCGACGACA